GCAUCAGUGGUCGAAUGGUCAGACGUUCCCCUUCACUGAGCAAUUGCUCUCUUUAAAGGGAAAGGUGCGAGUUCGAAUCUCGCCUGAUGCACCA
This 94-nucleotide transfer RNA is filed under the name Francisella philomiragia. Its description in RNAcentral is "tRNA-Und (NNN) (tRNA-Und-NNN-1-1)". It matches the Rfam family "tRNA". Rfam says of the family: Transfer RNA (tRNA) molecules are approximately 80 nucleotides in length. Their secondary structure includes four short double-helical elements and three loops (D, anti-codon, and T loops). The record is from RNAcentral. Lineage: Bacteria; Pseudomonadati; Pseudomonadota; Gammaproteobacteria; Thiotrichales; Francisellaceae.